RNAcentral lists this ribosomal RNA (433 nucleotides) under uncultured bacterium. Its description in RNAcentral is "partial 16S ribosomal RNA". It matches the Rfam family "Bacterial small subunit ribosomal RNA", at positions 29 to 507 of the family's 1533-position model. The record is from RNAcentral.
AACGAACGCUGGCGGCAUGCCUAACACAUGCAAGUCGAACGAGACCUUCGGGUCUAGUAGCGCACGGGUGCGUAACGCGUGGGAACCUGCCCUUAGGUUCGGAAUAACUCCCCGAAAGGGGUGCUAAUACCGGAUAAUGUCUUCGGACCAAAGAUUUAUCGCCUUUGGAUGGGCCCGCGUUGGAUUAGCUAGUUGGUAGGGUAAAAGCCUACCAAGGCGACGAUCCAUAGCUGGUCUGAGAGGAUGAUCAGCCACACUGGGACUGAGACACGGCCCAGACUCCUACGGGAGGCAGCAGUGGGGAAUAUUGGACAAUGGGCGAAAGCCUGAUCCAGCAAUGCCGCGUGAGUGAUGAAGGCCUUAGGGUUGUAAAGCUCUUUUACCCGGGAUGAUAAUGACAGUACCGGGAGAAUAAGCGCCGGCUAACUCCGUG